Molecule: non-coding RNA, 1144 nt
Organism: Erythranthe guttata (spotted monkey flower)
Lineage: Eukaryota; Viridiplantae; Streptophyta; Magnoliopsida; Lamiales; Phrymaceae
Source: RefSeq, a predicted model, not a curated record
CAGUUUGGUUGGGCUGAUCCGGGUGGAUAGUUCCUCUAAUCCACUCGGAUCUCAGCUUUGGUUGAGCCCAACUGGGUUCUGGAUUGCACUUGGGCCCGGGUCCAGAUCAAGGAUUUGCUGGAUCUCCCAUCAGGCCAAAUGAGGUGAGAUUGGGUAAUCUCAUCCAACUCUCAGCCCAAUCAAGUACAGUAUUACCUUUAUGCCCUGAAUAUUUAUUUCUAAUUACAAGACUACCCCAUAUAUAUAAGAAUUACCCCAAAAAUUAUUGUGUUAGCCCUAGAAUUUUACCGACAUAGCAAUAUACGCCGUUCUUCGUUCUACUUUUCUCCACUGUGGUCGGUAGUUUUUCACCGAGGUGAUUUUUUAUUUUGGUUUCGUAGUAGUUCGUAGUUUGGCCGGGCUGAGUCUGGUCUGGCCGAACGAUUCCGGUGUUGCAGCUGGUUGACGGUUGGCUGUCGAUUAUCCUGGUUCUGCUACACGACGAUUUAAGGGAAAUAAUAUAUGAUGUUCCCGAAACGAUGACCUCGAUGGUCGUAUCGUGGAUAUGAUGGUGGAUAUGACUAGGACUUUUGCGGAGACUAAAACAUGCCUAGGCGAGUUGGCCCACCGUAUCGGUUUUGAGCACGAUGCGUCAACUACACGUAAGAAGGUGUUGGAUGCCCUAUCGCCGUUAUGUUUAGGUGUCGAGGAUAAGAUUACCGUCGCUAAAGCCGUUUGCAAUAGCCCAACCGAUCUCGACAUCUUUUUCGGAUUAAAUGAAACCGAAAAGGGGGUUAUGGUUCGAAUGAUCCUCGAAGGGCGCUACUUCGGUUAGCUAGAAUAUCAUCCACUCACAAGGUGAAGAAACUUUUUCCCGUAUUCGGACCCUAUCUUACGGCAUUAUUUGCAUUGAAGACAAUUCUGUUAGUUUUUCCGUAUCGGCUUUAUAAAUUUUGUGUAUUAUGGCCGAUUAUAUGUCUGUAAAUAUUCUGUUAGUUUGGAGCUACUAUGCCUAAAUGGUAAGCUGAAAAAAUAUUUUAUUAUUUAGGAGCUAAUGGUCAAUUUUAAACAGGUUCACGGGUUGUGUAAUAUUCCAAGAUUUUUGUCAAUAUGCAUGUGUUAUAUUCACACUGCAACAGGUUAUAGUUGCAGGCCUUCGUGCAAA